UCAAGCGAACAAGGGCGCAGGGCGAAUGCCUUGGCACUGGGAGCCGAUGAAAGACGUGAUAAGCUGCGAUAAGCUUCGGGGAGCUGCAAAUAAGCAUUGAUCCGGAGAUUUCUGAAUGAGGAAACUCACCUGGGUUCAUACUCAGGUACGUUAUACUGAACUUAAAAAUAGGUAUAUCGAGGGAACCGCCUGAACUGAAACAUCUAAGUAGGGCGAGGAAGAGACAUCAAACGAGAUUCCGUAAGUAGUGGCGAGCGAACGCGGAAGAGGGCAAACCGGAAGUAGAAAUACUUCCGGGGUACGGACUGCUUUUAGGACUUAAUCUGUUAACCGAACGGCAUGGGAAGGCCGGUCAGAGAGUGUGAGAACCACGUAGGUGAAAACGGAGAGAGCUGCGCAGGAUCCAGAGUACGGCCAGACACGUGAAACCUGGUCGGAAUACGGGGGGACCACCCUCCAACCCUAAAUACUACCCAGUGACCGAUAGCGUAUAGUACUGUGAAGGAAAGGUGAAAAGCACCCCGGGAGGGGAGUGAAAAAGAACCUGAAACCCUGUGCCUACAAGCACCUAGAGCACGUCAAUGUGUGAUAGGGUACUUUUUGUAGAACGGUCCGGCGAGCGAUUGUAUGCAGCAAGGUUAAGGACUUAAGGUCUGGAGCCGAAGCGAAAGCGAGUUUGAAAAGGGCGUUAAGUUGCAUACAAUGGGCCCGAAACCGGGUGACCUACCCAUGGUCAGGUUGAAGUGGAAGUAAAAUUCCAUGGAGGACCGAACCGACCUCCGUUGAAAAGGCGGCGGAUGAACUGUGGGUAGCGGAGAAAUUCCAAUCGAACCCGGAGAUAGCUGGUUCUCCCCGAAAUAGUUUUAGGACUAGCCUCAAGUUAGAUACCUGGAGGUAAAGCACUGAAUAGCCUAGCGGCCGAGAGGUUAGCGAAGCUUAUCAAACUCAGAAUGCCAGAGUAUUGAUGCUUGGGAGUCAGACAGUGUCAGAUAAAUGUCAUUGUCAAAAGGGAAACAGCCCAGAUCUACAGCUAAGGUCCCAAAGUCAGGUUAAGUGGAAAACGAUGUGAAGAUACGCAGACAACCAGGAUGUUGGCUCAGAAGCAGCCACUCAUUCAAAGAGUGCGUAAUAGCUCACUGGUCGAGCGUCUUUGCGCGGAGAAUUUAACGGGGCUAAACCUGACACCGAAGCUUAGGCAAUGUACUUAGUACAUUGGGUAGGGGAGCGUUGUAUACGCGGUGAAACAGUAGCGCAAGCGGCUGUGGAGUGUAUAGAAGUGAGAAUGCCGGAAUGAGUAGCGCGAAUGCAGUGAGAAUCUGCAUGGCCGAAAGCCUCAGGUUUCUGGAGGAAGGUUCGUCCGCUCCAGGUUAGUCGGGAGCUAAGGUGAGGCCUAACGGCGUAGCCGAUGCACAGACGGUAGAGAUUCCGUCACCACCAAAAGAGUUAAACACAGGGACACAUUUGAAGUCUCGGAGCCGGGUGUUGGUUCCGGUAGCGAUCGAGGGAAGUUAGUACCGAAGUCCGGGAUGGAAGAUGGCGAGAAAAGCUGUGUGUAUUUCUGCGGUGCCCGUACCGCAAACCGACACAGGUAGGUAGGAAGAAGAUUCUAAGGCCAACGGGAGAAGGGUUGUUAAGGAACUCGGCAAAUUGACCCCGUAACUUCGGGAGAAGGGGUGCUCCAGAGAUGGAGCCGCAGAGAAUCGGCCCAAGCAACUGUUUACCAAAAACACAGGUUUGUGCUAAAUCGAAAGAUGACGUAUACGAGCUGACGCCUGCCCGGUGCUGGAAGGUUAAGAGGAGAUGUGCAAGCAUUGAAUCGAAGCCCCAGUGAACGGCGGCCGUAACUAUAACGGUCCUAAGGUAGCGAAAUUCCUUGUCAGGUAAG
This 1885-nucleotide ribosomal RNA is filed under the name human gut metagenome. Its description in RNAcentral is "bacterial LSU rRNA". It matches the Rfam family "Bacterial large subunit ribosomal RNA", at positions 3 to 1980 of the family's 2925-position model. The record is from RNAcentral.